Molecule: ribosomal RNA, 448 nt
Filed under: uncultured bacterium
Lineage: Bacteria
Description: bacterial SSU rRNA
Rfam family: Bacterial small subunit ribosomal RNA
Source: RNAcentral
CCAGACUCCUACGGGAGGCAGCAGUGGGGGAUAUUGGACAAUGGGGGGAACCCUGAUCCAGCGACGCCGCGUGAGUGAAGAAGUAUCUCGGUAUGUAAAGCUCUAUCAGCAGGGAAGAAAGAAAUGACGGUACCUGAGUAAGAAGCCCCGGCUAACUACGUGCCAGCAGCCGCGGUAAUACGUAGGGGGCAAGCGUUAUCCGGAUUUACUGGGUGUAAAGGGAGCGUAGACGGCAGUGCAAGUCUGAAGUGAAAGCCCCGGGCUUAACCCGGGAACUGCUUUGGAAACUGUACGGCUGGAGUGCUGGAGAGGUAAGCGGAAUUCCUAGUGUAGCGGUGAAAUGCGUAGAUAUUAGGAGGAACACCAGUGGCGAAGGCGGCUUACUGGACAGUAACUGACGUUGAGGCUCGAAAGCGUGGGGAGCAAACAGGAUUAGAUACCCGAGUAC